RNAcentral lists this non-coding RNA (184 nucleotides) under Candidatus Zhuqueibacterota. The record is from RNAcentral. Lineage: Bacteria; Pseudomonadati.
UGACAAUCCUUUAAAAUUAUUUUAUAAAGGUAAUGAAUCUUUCAGGGAAAGCGGUGAAAAUCCGCCACAGCCCCGCUACUGUAAGCGGCUACGAAAGCUUUUUUGAGCCACCCGAAAGGGGAAGGUAAAGCCGGUAGGUCUGAAGCCGCAAAGUCAGGAGACCUGACAGGUUCAAGUCCCUUAG